UUGGUAAUUAAAAAAAAAUAA
RNAcentral lists this non-coding RNA (21 nucleotides) under Caenorhabditis elegans. Lineage: Eukaryota; Metazoa; Nematoda; Chromadorea; Rhabditida; Rhabditidae. The record is from RNAcentral.